RNAcentral lists this ribosomal RNA (254 nucleotides) under uncultured bacterium. RNAcentral's name for it is "partial 16S ribosomal RNA". It matches the Rfam family "Bacterial small subunit ribosomal RNA", at positions 524 to 777 of the family's 1533-position model. The record is from RNAcentral.
UACGUAGGUGACGAGCGUUAUCCGGAUUUACUGGGCGUAAAGAGCGCGCAGGCGGUCGUACAAGUCGCGUGUGAAAGCCCCUGGCUCAACUGGGGAGGGUCACGCGAUACUGUUCGACUCGAAGGCAGGAGAGGGAAGUGGAAUUCCCGGUGUAGUGGUGAAAUGCGUAGAUAUCGGGAGGAACACCAGUGGCGAAGGCGACUUCCUGGCCUGUUCUUGACGCUGAGGCGCGAAAGCUAGGGUAGCAAACGGGG